CUCUACUACUACCCCACUGAAUUUUUCACCUGCUACUACAAUUAAUUAACAAACAACCUAUCCACGGCCUUCCUCUACUGAACAUACCUGGCCUCUAAGGACCUCCUGAAUUACCUCAGGCUUUGGCCAUUUUGGACCGUCUGUCUCUACUACUACCCCACUGAAUUUUUCACCUGCUACUACAAUUAAUUAACAAACAACCUAUCCACGGCCUUCCUCUACUGAACAUACCUGGCCUCUAAGGACCUCCUGAAUUACCUCAGGCUUUGGCCAUUUUGGACCGUCUGUCUCUACUACUACCCCACUGAAUUUUUCACCUGCUACUACAAUUAAUUAACAAACAACCUAUCCACGGCCUUCCUCUACUGAACAUACCUGGCCUCUAAGGACCUCCUGAAUUACCUCAGGCUUUGGCCAUUUUGGACCGUCUGUCUCUACUACUACCCCACUGAAUUUUUCACCUGCUACUACAAUUAAUUAACAAACAACCUAUCCACGGCCUUCCUCUACUGAACAUACCUGGCCUCUAAGGACCUCCUGAAUUACCUCAGGCUUUGGCCAUUUUGGACCGUCUGUCUCUACUACUACCCCACUGAAUUUUUCACCUGCUACUACAAUUAAUUAACAAACAACCUAUCCACGGCCUUCCUCUACUGAACAUACCUGGCCUCUAAGGACCUCCUGAAUUACCUCAGGCUUUGGCCAUUUUGGACCGUCUGUCUCUACUACUACCCCACUGAAUUUUUCACCUGCUACUACAAUUAAUUAACAAACAACCUAUCCACGGCCUUCCUCUACUGAACAUACCUGGCCUCUAAGGACCUCCUGAAUUACCUCAGGCUUUGGCCAUUUUGGACCAUCUGUCUCUACUACUACCCCACUGAAUUUUUCACCUGCUACUACAAUUAAUUAACAAACAACCUAUCCACGGCCUUCCUCUACUGAACAUACCUGGCCUCUAAGGACCUCCUGAAUUACCUCAGGCUUUGGCCAUUUUGGACCGUCUGUCUCUACUACUACCCCACUGAAUUUUUCACCUGCUACUACAAUUAAUUAACAAAGUAUGUUUGCACAUUUGGCUCAUCCUGAAUGAAAUUGCUUGUUCAUUGGCUUGUACAUA
Protopterus annectens (West African lungfish) is the source of this 1120-nucleotide long non-coding RNA. RefSeq lists it as uncharacterized. Lineage: Eukaryota; Metazoa; Chordata; Ceratodontiformes; Protopteridae. The record is from RefSeq and is a predicted model, not a curated record. The transcript is spliced from 8 exons.